CACGGGGGGAGCAAGCGUUGUUCGGAUUUACUGGGCGUAAAGGGCGCGUAGGCGGCGCAACAAGUCACUUGUGAAAUCUCCGGGCUUAACCCGGAGCGGUCAAGUGAUACUGUCGUGCUAGAGUGCGGAAGGGGCUACUGGAAUUCUCGGUGUAGCGGUGAAAUGCGUAGAUAUCGAGAGGAACACCUGCGGCGAAGGCGGGUAGCUGGGCCGACACUGACGCUGAUGCGCGAAAGCCAGGGGAGCGGACGGG
This 253-nucleotide ribosomal RNA is filed under the name uncultured bacterium. RNAcentral's name for it is "partial 16S ribosomal RNA". It matches the Rfam family "Bacterial small subunit ribosomal RNA", at positions 524 to 776 of the family's 1533-position model. The record is from RNAcentral.